UCAGGCCUAACACAUGCAAGUCGAGCGGAAACGAGUUAUCUGAACCUUCGGGGAACGAUAACGGCGUCGAGCGGCGGACGGGUGAGUAAUGCCUAGGAAAUUGCCCUGAUGUGGGGGAUAACCAUUGGAAACGAUGGCUAAUACCGCAUGAUGCCUACGGGCCAAAGAGGGGGACCUUCGGGCCUCUCGCGUCAGGAUAUGCCUAGGUGGGAUUAGCUAGUUGGUGAGGUAAGGGCUCACCAAGGCGACGAUCCCUAGCUGGUCUGAGAGGAUGAUCAGCCACACUGGAACUGAGACACGGUCCAGACUCCUACGGGAGGCAGCAGUGGGGAAUAUUGCACAAUGGGCGCAAGCCUGAUGCAGCCAUGCCGCGUGUGUGAAGAAGGCCUUCGGGUUGUAAAGCACUUUCAGUCGUGAGGAAGGUAGUGUCGUUAAUAGCGGCAUUACUUGACGUUAGCGACAGAAGAAGCACCGGCUAACUCCGUGCCAGCAGCCGCGGUAAUACGGAGGGUGCGAGCGUUAAUCGGAAUUACUGGGCGUAAAGCGCAUGCAGGUGGUUUGUUAAGUCAGAUGUGAAAGCCCGGGGCUCAACCUCGGAAUAGCAUUUGAAACUGGCAGACUAGAGUAUUGUAGAGGGGGGUAGAAUUUCA
Molecule: ribosomal RNA, 650 nt
Filed under: uncultured bacterium
Lineage: Bacteria
Description: bacterial SSU rRNA
Rfam family: Bacterial small subunit ribosomal RNA
Source: RNAcentral